GUCCACGCCGUAAACGAUGGAUACUAGCUGUUGGGAGCAAUCUCAGUGGCUAAGCGAAAGUGAUAAGUAUCCCACCUGGGGAGUACGUUCGCAAGAAUGAAACUCAAAGGAAUUGGACGGGGGCCCGCACAAGCGGUGGAGCAUGUGGUUUAAUUCGAUGAUACGCGAGGAACCUUACCAAGGCUUAAAAUGUAGAUUGACAGGACUGGAAACAGUUUUUUCUUCGGACAAUUUACAACGUGCUGCAUGGUUGUCGU
This 257-nucleotide ribosomal RNA is filed under the name uncultured bacterium. RNAcentral's name for it is "partial 16S ribosomal RNA". It matches the Rfam family "Bacterial small subunit ribosomal RNA", at positions 793 to 1055 of the family's 1533-position model. The record is from RNAcentral.